AUGCCGCGUGCAGGAAGAAUGCCCUAUGGGUUGUAAACUGCUUUUAUUUGGGAAUAAACCUCUUUACGUGUAGAGAGCUGAAGGUACCAAAUGAAUAAGCACCGGCUAACUCCGUGCCAGCAGCCGCGGUAAUACGGAGGGUGCAAGCGUUAUCCGGAAUCAUUGGGUUUAAAGGGUCCGCAGGCGGAUUUAUAAGUCAGUGGUGAAAUCCUAUCGCUUAACGAUAGAACUGCCAUUGAUACUGUAAGUCUUGAAUUCGGUCGGAGUGGGCGGAAUGUGUAGUGUAGCGGUGAAAUGCAUAGAUAUUACACAGAACACCGAUAGCGAAGGCAGCUCACUAGGCCUGAAUUGACGCUCAGGGACGAAAGCGUGGGGAUCAAACAGGAUUAGAUACCCUGGUAGUCCACGCUGUAAACGAUGAUUACUCGUUUUCGGCGAUAUACAGUCGGAGACUAAGCGAAAGUGAUAAGUAAUCCACCUGGGGAGUACGAUCGCAAGGUUGAAACUCAAAGGAAAUUGAC
This 521-nucleotide ribosomal RNA is filed under the name uncultured Flexibacter sp. RNAcentral describes it as "bacterial SSU rRNA". It matches the Rfam family "Bacterial small subunit ribosomal RNA", at positions 394 to 914 of the family's 1533-position model. Lineage: Bacteria; Pseudomonadati; Bacteroidota; Cytophagia; Cytophagales; Flexibacteraceae. The record is from RNAcentral.